Molecule: ribosomal RNA, 311 nt
Filed under: uncultured bacterium
Lineage: Bacteria
Description: bacterial SSU rRNA
Rfam family: Bacterial small subunit ribosomal RNA
Source: RNAcentral
GAUGAACGCUAGCGGCAGGCCUAACACAUGCAAGUCGAGGGGUAACAGAGAGAAGCUUGCUUCUUUGCUGACGACCGGCGCACGGGUGCGUAACGCGUAUACAAUCUACCUUUUGCUGGGGGAUAGCCUUUGGAAACGAAGAUUAAUACCCCAUAGUAUGUUAACUCUGCCUGGAGUUAAUAUUAAAGGUUACGGCAAAAGAUGAGUAUGCGUCCUAUUAGCUAGAUGGUAAGGUAACGGCUUACCAUGGCAACGAUAGGUAGGGGCCCUGAGAGGGGGAUCCCCCACACUGGUACUGAGACACGGACCAG